GUCACACUUUGGCAAACCCUUUGAAAAAAUGGGACGCAAAGCUUCCGGUCUGUCGGUCAAGAAAGCUCAUAAAGCCCUAUUACACCUAGGAUAGCGGGGUUACCAAU
This is a regulatory RNA element of Vibrio cholerae O1, 107 nucleotides long. It matches the Rfam family "c-di-GMP-I riboswitch aptamer". From Rfam's summary of the family: GEMM was predicted in a large-scale screen for bacterial structured RNA regulatory elements. Genes associated with GEMM are involved in a diverse array of functions, including chemotaxis regulation, signal transduction, secretion and chitin. Lineage: Bacteria; Pseudomonadati; Pseudomonadota; Gammaproteobacteria; Vibrionales; Vibrionaceae. The record is from Rfam.